This 141-nucleotide ribosomal RNA is filed under the name uncultured bacterium. RNAcentral describes it as "partial 16S rRNA". It matches the Rfam family "Bacterial small subunit ribosomal RNA", at positions 355 to 511 of the family's 1533-position model. The record is from RNAcentral.
UGGGGAAUUUUCCGCAAUGGGCGAAAGCCUGACGGAGCAACGCCGCGUGGAGGUGGAAGGCCUACGGGUCGUCAACUUCUUUUCUCGGAGAAGAAACAAUGACGGUAUCUGAGGAAUAAGCAUCGGCUAACUCUGUGCCGG